CGGAAGGUUGGGUGGACGAUUGGUCAGGUUGACCCAGGUCAGGUCCGAAAGGAAGCAGCCACAGCUUGUUUCAGACGGGUCAUCCAGCCUUUCAUUU
Molecule: non-coding RNA, 97 nt
Organism: SAR116 cluster alpha proteobacterium HIMB100
Lineage: Bacteria; Pseudomonadati; Pseudomonadota; Alphaproteobacteria; Puniceispirillales (SeqCode)
Source: Rfam